Molecule: non-coding RNA, 154 nt
Filed under: Gallus gallus (chicken)
Lineage: Eukaryota; Metazoa; Chordata; Aves; Galliformes; Phasianidae
Description: Eukaryotic large subunit ribosomal RNA
Rfam family: Eukaryotic large subunit ribosomal RNA
Source: Rfam by way of RNAcentral
GAAAACUGGCUUGUGGUGAUCAAGCGUUCAUAGUGAUGCCGCAUUUUGAUCCUUCGAUGUCGGCUCUUCCUAUCACUGUGAAGCACAAUUCACCAAGCGUGUGUCACCACUAACAGGGAACGUGAGCUGUGUUUAGACCAUCAUGAGACAGGUU